Etheostoma spectabile (orangethroat darter) is the source of this 135-nucleotide long non-coding RNA. RefSeq lists it as uncharacterized. The record is from RefSeq and is a predicted model, not a curated record. NCBI's taxonomy places the organism in Eukaryota, Metazoa, Chordata, Actinopteri, Perciformes, Percidae. The transcript has 3 exons.
AGAAACACACACUCCUUUGGCGGUCACUCGAGACGAGUAUGACUAUCCUCUCUGUCGGGUUGUCUUAUUUGUGGAUGCUCAGGUGGUUGUAAAAGUCAAUCCCUGAUCCACAGAUUCUGCUGCAAUGUGGGCAUU